This 591-nucleotide ribosomal RNA is filed under the name Triticum aestivum (bread wheat). RNAcentral's name for it is "partial small subunit ribosomal RNA". The record is from RNAcentral. Lineage: Eukaryota; Viridiplantae; Streptophyta; Magnoliopsida; Poales; Poaceae.
AUGAUCAGGAGAUCAUUGAUCCUGCCAGCUCGGUCAGAAGAAUUCGAGAAGAUCUUGCGCUGCUGGAUAUACCCGGACAGGCUUUCAUACCAUGGUUGGCGACCUUCAGAGGGAAACUACAUCAAGAUCAACACAGAUGCAGCGAUCCAUCGAGACACAGACACUGCAGGCAUUGAAGGCCUAGCCCGUUCUUCCUCGGCAUUCUUGGGUGCAUGGUGCAAACCCCAUCUAGGGGUCACUGAUCCGUUCAUUGCUGAGGUGCUCUCCAUUCGAGAGGGUACCAUCUUCGCCCGUCUCCGCGGCUACACGCACGUGCAACUGGAAUCCGACUGUCUAGAGGCAGUUGACCUCUGGAACUCUGGCUACACCGAUCGCUCGGUCGUAGCACCCAUUCUAGCUGAAAUUAGAGAGCUUUCUGAUAGUUUUUCUUCAUUCAGUAUUACUCAUGUAACUCGAUCCGCUAACGGUCCCGCACAUUUGUGUGCUAAGCGUGCAUGUACGCUGAAUGGGACUGAAAGCUGGCUGGACACCAUUCCUAGCUUCCUGGUCAGCAACCUUCUGGCUGACUGCCCAGCGAAUGCCUUCGUUUAA